AUACGUAGGGAGCAAGCGUUGUCCGGAAUUACUGGGUGUAAAGGGAGCGUAGGCGGGAAAGCAAGUUGAAUGUUUAAUCUAUGGGCUCAACCCAUAUCAGCGUUCAAAACUGCUUUUCUUGAGUGAAGUAGAGGUUGGCGGAAUUCCUAGUGUAGCGGUGAAAUGCGUAGAUAUUAGGAGGAACACCAGUGGCGAAGGCGGCCAGCGUGGGUCUUUUACUGACGCUGAGGCUACGAAAGCGGUGGGGAGA
RNAcentral lists this ribosomal RNA (250 nucleotides) under uncultured bacterium. RNAcentral describes it as "partial 16S ribosomal RNA". It matches the Rfam family "Bacterial small subunit ribosomal RNA", at positions 523 to 770 of the family's 1533-position model. The record is from RNAcentral.